RNAcentral lists this ribosomal RNA (253 nucleotides) under uncultured bacterium. Its description in RNAcentral is "partial 16S ribosomal RNA". It matches the Rfam family "Bacterial small subunit ribosomal RNA", at positions 524 to 776 of the family's 1533-position model. The record is from RNAcentral.
UACGGGGGGGGCAAGCGUUGUUCGGAAUUACUGGGCGUAAAGGGCGCGUAGGCGGCCUGCUAAGUCGGACGUGAAAUCCCUCGGCUCAACCGGGGAACUGCGUCCGAUACUGGUGGGCUCGAAUCCGGGAGAGGGAUGUGGAAUUCCAGGUGUAGCGGUGAAAUGCGUAGAUAUCUGGAGGAACACCGGUGGCGAAGGCGGCAUCCUGGACCGGUAUUGACGCUGAGGAGCGAAAGCCAGGGGAGCAAACGGG